AAUCAACGCUGGCGGCGCGCUUAACACAUGCAAGUCGCACGAGAAAGUGGAGCAAUCCAUGAGUACAGUGGCGUACGGGUGAGUAACACGUGGGUAAUCUACCUCUUAGUGGGAAUAACUCUGGGAACCGGAGCUAAUACCGCAUAAGCCUGGAAAGGGAAAGCAGCGAAUGCGCUGAGAGAGGAGCCCGCGGCCGAUUAGCUAGUUGGUA
Molecule: ribosomal RNA, 211 nt
Filed under: uncultured bacterium
Lineage: Bacteria
Description: partial 16S ribosomal RNA
Rfam family: Bacterial small subunit ribosomal RNA
Source: RNAcentral